GGCGGAGUAGCUCAGUUGGUUAGAGCAGCGGAAUCAUAAUCCGCGUGUCGGCGGUUCGAAUCCGUCCUCCGCUACCA
RNAcentral lists this transfer RNA (77 nucleotides) under Parvibaculum lavamentivorans DS-1. Its description in RNAcentral is "tRNA-Met (CAT) (tRNA-Met-CAT-2-1)". It matches the Rfam family "tRNA". From Rfam's summary of the family: Transfer RNA (tRNA) molecules are approximately 80 nucleotides in length. Their secondary structure includes four short double-helical elements and three loops (D, anti-codon, and T loops). RNAcentral also lists the same sequence under 8 other names. The record is from RNAcentral. Lineage: Bacteria; Pseudomonadati; Pseudomonadota; Alphaproteobacteria; Hyphomicrobiales; Parvibaculaceae.